Molecule: ribosomal RNA, 728 nt
Filed under: uncultured eukaryote
Lineage: Eukaryota
Description: SSU rRNA
Rfam family: Eukaryotic small subunit ribosomal RNA
Source: RNAcentral
GAUUAUGUUGGUUAACAGAUCCUCAUCUGCUGGACGUCUGGCGAUGAUCUUUAUCGGUUGUCGUCAGUUGCCAGCACGUUUACUUUGAGAAAAUUAGAGUGCUAAAAGCAGGCUCACGCCUAUAUAUAUUGCAUGGAAUAAUGAAAUAAGAUCUCGAUUUUAUUUCGUUGGUUUUAGAAAUUGAGAUAAUGAUUAAUAGGAUCAGAGGGGGGCGUACGUACUGUGGUGUGAGAGGUGAAAUUCUUGGAUCGCCACAGGACGAACAGCAGCGAAGGCGUUCGCCAAGAAUGUUUUCAUUAAUCAAGAACGAAAGUUUGAGGUUCGAAGACGAUUAGAUACCGUCCUAGUUCAAACCAUAAACGUUGCCAACUGUCUUUUAGAUGCGGUUAUUUAUAUGACUCAUCUGGCGGAUCUCGAGAAAUCUAAGUUUUUAGGUUCCGGGGGAAGUAUGGUUGCAAAGCUGAAACUUAAAAGAAUUGACGGAAGGACACACAAGAAGUGGAGCCUGUGGCCUAAUUUGACUCAACACGGGAAACCUUACUCGGCCAGGACACUUUUAGGAUUGACAGAUUGAGAGCUCUUUCUUGAUUAGGUGGGUGGUGGUGCAUGGUCGUUCGUAGUUCGUGGAGCGAUUUGUCUGAUUAAUUUCGAUAACGAACGAGACUCCGGCUUACUAAAUAGUCUGAAGUUCGAAGGGACUUAUUAAGACUUCUUAGCAGGAUAAGUGG